UACGGAGGGUGCAAGCGUCAUCCGGAUUCACUGGGUUUAAAGGGUGCGUAGGUGGAAAGGUAAGUCAGUGGUGAAAUCUCCAAGCUUAACUUGGAAACUGCCGUUGAUACUAUCUUUCUUGAAUAUCGUGGAGGUGAGCGGAAUAUGUCAUGUAGCGGUGAAAUGCUUAGAUAUGACAUAGAACACCGAUUGCGGAGGCAGCUCACUACACGAUCAUUGACACUGAGGCACGAAAGCGUGGGGAGCAAGCAGG
Molecule: ribosomal RNA, 253 nt
Filed under: uncultured bacterium
Lineage: Bacteria
Description: partial 16S ribosomal RNA
Rfam family: Bacterial small subunit ribosomal RNA
Source: RNAcentral